UUUAAUAUGGCAGACUAGUGCAAUGAACUUAAACUUCAUAUAUAAAGAUUUAUUCUUUUAUUAAAA
This 66-nucleotide transfer RNA is filed under the name Pheidole pieli. RNAcentral's name for it is "tRNA-Leu". Lineage: Eukaryota; Metazoa; Arthropoda; Insecta; Hymenoptera; Formicidae. The record is from RNAcentral.